AGGUGGAAUGCAGCAGGAGAAAAAUGAAGAAGAAGGAACACCUAAAUGACGAGAGAAGGAACAAAAGUUCUGAAACUAACCUAAGCUGCUCCGAAGGAUGCAGAGAUGCAGGGACAGGGAUGACUCGAAGUACACCUAGGGCCAAAAUGGAUGCCGAGGAAGGUCAGAGCUCUCAAAAAGAAGACGGGCACCAACAAAACUUUCAGACAGAAUGAAACUCCCGAAGGA
RNAcentral lists this long non-coding RNA (228 nucleotides) under Elaeis guineensis (African oil palm). Its description in RNAcentral is "long non-coding RNA (EGUI_LNC078911)". Lineage: Eukaryota; Viridiplantae; Streptophyta; Magnoliopsida; Arecales; Arecaceae. The record is from RNAcentral.